RNAcentral lists this ribosomal RNA (253 nucleotides) under uncultured bacterium. RNAcentral describes it as "partial 16S ribosomal RNA". It matches the Rfam family "Bacterial small subunit ribosomal RNA", at positions 524 to 776 of the family's 1533-position model. The record is from RNAcentral.
UACAGAGGGUGCAAGCGUUAAUCGGAUUUACUGGGCGUAAAGCGUGAGUAGGUGGCUUCCUAAGUCGGUUGUGAAAUCCCUGGGCUUAACCUGGGAAUUGCAGUCGAUACUGGGAAGCUCGAGUUCGGUAGAGGGUGGCGGAAUUCCCGGUGUAGCGGUGAAAUGCGUAGAUAUCGGGAGGAACAUCGAUGGCGAAGGCAACCACCUGGGCCUGAACUGACGCUGAUGCGCGAAAGCGUGGGUAGCAAACAGG